This 137-nucleotide non-coding RNA is filed under the name Yonghaparkia sp. Root332. RNAcentral describes it as "FMN riboswitch aptamer (RFN element)". It matches the Rfam family "FMN riboswitch aptamer (RFN element)". From Rfam's summary of the family: The RFN element is a highly conserved domain that is found frequently in the 5'-untranslated regions of prokaryotic mRNAs that encode for flavin mononucleotide (FMN) biosynthesis and transport proteins. This element is a metabolite-dependent riboswitch that directly binds FMN in the absence of proteins. RNAcentral also lists the same sequence under 1 other name. Lineage: Bacteria; Bacillati; Actinomycetota; Actinomycetes; Micrococcales; Microbacteriaceae. The record is from Rfam by way of RNAcentral.
AACGCACUUCGGGGUCGGUGAAAGUCCGAGCCGGCGGUCAUAGUCCGCGACCCGUGGUCGAGCUCUCGGGCUCGGCACCGGUUGAGCUGGUGGAACUCCAGCACCGACGGUGAGAGUCCGGAUGGGAGAAGUGCGGU